GCUGGGCAUGGUGGCGUGUGCCUGUAAUUCCAGCUACUUGGGAGGCUGAGGCAGGAGAAUUGCUUGAAUCUGGGAGGUGGAGGUUGCAGUGAGCCAAGAUUGCACCACUGCACUCCAGCCUGGUGAUAGAGCGAGACUCUGUCUCAAAAAAUAUAUAUAUAAACUUAAAAAAAUAUUUUUUUUUGAGACAGAGUCUCGCUCCAUUGUCAGGCUCCCGGCUGCAGUACAGUGGCCCAAUCUUGGCUCACUGCAACCUCCGCCUCCUGGGUUCAAGCAAUUCUCCUGCCUCAG
Molecule: signal recognition particle RNA, 291 nt
Filed under: Callithrix jacchus (white-tufted-ear marmoset)
Lineage: Eukaryota; Metazoa; Chordata; Mammalia; Primates; Cebidae
Description: Metazoan signal recognition particle RNA (ENSCJAG00000052327.2)
Rfam family: Metazoan signal recognition particle RNA
About the family: The signal recognition particle (SRP) is a universally conserved ribonucleoprotein.
Source: RNAcentral